This 292-nucleotide ribosomal RNA is filed under the name uncultured bacterium. RNAcentral describes it as "partial 16S ribosomal RNA". It matches the Rfam family "Bacterial small subunit ribosomal RNA", at positions 505 to 796 of the family's 1533-position model. The record is from RNAcentral.
GUGUCAGCAGCCGCGGUAAUACGAAGGGGGCUAGCGUUGUUCGGAAUUACUGGGCGUAAAGCGCACGUAGGCGGAUUGUUAAGUCAGAGGUGAAAUCCCGGAGCUCAACUUCGGAACUGCCUUUGAUACUGGCAAUCUAGAGUCCGGAAGAGGUUAGUGGAAUUCCCAGUGUAGAGGUGAAAUUCGUAGAUAUUGGGAAGAACACCAGUGGCGAAGGCGGCUAACUGGUCCGGUACUGACGCUGAGGUGCGAAAGCGUGGGGAGCAAACAGGAUUAGAAACCCCAGUAGUCC